RNAcentral lists this ribosomal RNA (312 nucleotides) under uncultured bacterium. Its description in RNAcentral is "bacterial SSU rRNA". It matches the Rfam family "Bacterial small subunit ribosomal RNA", at positions 28 to 334 of the family's 1533-position model. The record is from RNAcentral.
GAUGAACGCUGGCGGCGUGCUUAACACAUGCAAGUCGAGCGAAGAUAUUUAGUGCUUGCACUGUAAUAACUUAGCGGCGGACGGGUGAGGAACACGUGAGUAAUCUGCCCUUAACAGGGGGAUAACACAAAGAAAUUUGUGCUAAUACCGCAUAAGCUCACAUAACGGCAUCGUUAAGUGAGAAAAGAUUUAUUGGUUAAGGAGGAGCUCGCGGCUGAUUAGCUAGUUGGUGGGGCAACGGCCUACCAAGGCGACGAUCAGUAGCCGGCCUGAGAGGGUGAACGGCCACAUUGGAACUGAGACACGGUCCAA